RNAcentral lists this ribosomal RNA (303 nucleotides) under uncultured bacterium. RNAcentral's name for it is "partial 16S ribosomal RNA". It matches the Rfam family "Bacterial small subunit ribosomal RNA", at positions 507 to 809 of the family's 1533-position model. The record is from RNAcentral.
AGCAGUCGCCACGGUAAUACGUAGGGUGCAAGCGUUAAUCGGAAUUACUGGGCGUAAAGCGUGCGCAGGCGGUUAUAUAAGACAGAUGUGAAAUCCCCGGGCUCAACCUGGGAACUGCAUUUGUGACUGUAUAGCUAGAGUACGGCAGAGGGGGAUGGAAUUCCGCGUGUAGCAGUGAAAUGCGUAGAUAUGCGGAGGAACACCGAUGGCGAAGGCAAUCCCCUGGGCCUGUACUGACGCUCAUGCACGAAAGCGUGGGGAGCAAACAGGAUUAGAUACCCCGGUAGUCCCUGUCUCUUAUAA